UCCCUGGUGGUCUAGUGGUUAGGAUUUGGCACUUUUACUGCGGCAGUCCAGGUUCAAUCCUGGCCUGGGAA
This 71-nucleotide transfer RNA is filed under the name Sus scrofa (pig). It matches the Rfam family "tRNA". Rfam says of the family: Transfer RNA (tRNA) molecules are approximately 80 nucleotides in length. Their secondary structure includes four short double-helical elements and three loops (D, anti-codon, and T loops). Lineage: Eukaryota; Metazoa; Chordata; Mammalia; Artiodactyla; Suidae. The record is from Rfam by way of RNAcentral.